Molecule: unclassified non-coding RNA, 328 nt
Organism: Dipodomys ordii (Ord's kangaroo rat)
Lineage: Eukaryota; Metazoa; Chordata; Mammalia; Rodentia; Heteromyidae
Gene: 7SK
Rfam family: 7SK RNA
About the family: 7SK was discovered as an abundant small nuclear RNA in the mid-70s but a possible function has only recently been suggested. Two independent studies have found that 7SK RNA binds the CDK9/cyclin T complex (known as elongation factor P-TEFb). P-TEFb activates transcription by phosphorylating the C-terminal domain of RNA polymerase II.
Source: Ensembl
GGAUGUGAGGGCCAUUUGGUUGCAACAUCUGUCACCCCAUUGAUUGCCAGGGUUGAUUCAGCUGAUUUGACUGGCUAGGCAAGUGUACCCUUCUUCCCUCGCCGCUCCAUGUGCAUCCCUCCCGAGGCUGCAUGCUUGGUUGAAGAGGACGACUGUCCCCGAUAAAGGAGGACUGGUCUUCGGUCAAGGGUAUACGAGUAGCUACACUACCUUGCUAGAACCUCCAAACAAGCUCUCAGGAGUGGAAUUUCUUGGUCAUAGAGGUGUUCUAUAUUUACUCUUUUGAGGAACUUCCAUACUGCUUUCCAGAGUGGUCAAACAACAGUAU